RNAcentral lists this ribosomal RNA (447 nucleotides) under Triticum aestivum (bread wheat). RNAcentral describes it as "partial small subunit ribosomal RNA". The record is from RNAcentral. Lineage: Eukaryota; Viridiplantae; Streptophyta; Magnoliopsida; Poales; Poaceae.
AUGGCGGCGUCGGAGAACGCCCGCCCGGCCUGGCGGCGGCGGAGGGAGUUAAGGUCGCCGCCGGCGCAGCGGUCGAUGGCGAAGCCGACGACGGCUUCGGUGGCCACGACGCCGCGGAGCGACGGCAGGAGCGGGUGGCGGACCGCCAGCAGGACGUCGCGCUCGAACCAGAUCCUCCGGAGGCCGUCGCCGCCAGGUGCUGGCUCGCCCGCGGCGCUCUUUUGGCGCGCGGCAGCGCGGGACAUGGCCUUGAGGGCCAUGGGUUGGUCGGCGGAGCAGCCCCCGCCUGCAGCUGCCGCCACAACGGGCACGACGUGGAAGACCACGCCCCUCGCGCCGUGGCCAAGCACCGACAUGGCCCUGAGGUCUGCCAGGCUGAGCUGCGGCGGCGGCGGCGGCAUGGGCGCCGUGCUCACCAUGUCACGCGGCGGCGUGAAGCAGAGCUGA